Molecule: ribosomal RNA, 433 nt
Filed under: uncultured bacterium
Lineage: Bacteria
Description: partial 16S ribosomal RNA
Rfam family: Bacterial small subunit ribosomal RNA
Source: RNAcentral
AACGAACGCUGGCGGCAUGCCUAACACAUGCAAGUCGAACGAGACCUUCGGGUCUAGUGGCGCACGGGUGCGUAACGCGUGGGAACCUGCCCUUAGGUUCGGAAUAACUCCCCGAAAGGGGUGCUAAUACCGGAUAAUUUCUUCGGACCAAAGAUUUAUCGCCUUUGGAUGGGCCCGCGUUGGUUUAGCUAGUUGGUAGGGUAAAAGCCUACCAAGGCGACGAUCCAUAGCUGGUCUGAGAGGAUGAUCAGCCACACUGGGACUGAGACACGGCCCAGACUCCUACGGGAGGCAGCAGUGGGGAAUAUUGGACAAUGGGCGAAAGCCUGAUCCAGCAAUGCCGCGUGAGUGAUGAAGGCCUUAGGGUUGUAAAGCUCUUUUACCCGGGAUGAUAAUGACAGUACCGGGAGAAUAAGCUCCGGCUAACUCCGUG